GGUUGUAUGAAAUGUAUGCAAAAGUAAUGUGCAAACCCAAUUUUGAGAGGGUGAUCAAUAAUGGUGAUAAGGUUUAAGGUUAAUAAUUGCUUCCACUGUGCGAAACUCGUUUCACAAGCAUCACCAUAGUCAUAUAAUGGAACUUUAUUAUGGACAGGAUACUCAUAAAAAACAUGUGGUAAGAAGAUCUUUAGCUUUCUGACGAGUGUGUGAAGAAAGAAUUCUCAACCUAGCUGCAGUACUUUUAGAAACAUAACAUUAUAUUUAUCAAACCUUAAAUUUUGAAUUCACUACUACUUGAGAUGCUACCAGAUAAACCAAUUAAGGACUGUACUCUGUUCUGACCUUUUUUCUUUAUUGUCUCUUGAAUUAACGUUGUCUCGGUGACCUUUUCUCACGAUUGGUUUUAUCCCUGUUUUGGAUUAUUUACCACUUCCAAUCCAAGCAGCAAUGUGAUUGCAGCUUAAAAUGGAUCUGAUUCUGUAGCAGAACGUGUGUUUUGGCCUAAUUCAACCAGCUAGAGACAGAAUAGCUAACAGCAAGGGACAUGAACUACUUGAAUCAGACAAUGAAAUGGGAAACAAACACCAAGAACAACCUGGUUGCCCCAUAGAAACAGUGAAGAACCAAAAACAGCAGCUACAAAACGAAAUCUGAGUAGCCACACUAUAGAGAUUUGAACACAAACAGAAAGUUGAAGAGGUGGUGGGUGUGAAACUUCUACUCAACCAAACAGAAAAAGAAAAAUAGAAGCAUAAAUGAAUUACCAUGAGGCAAGUUGCUCCACUGAUGCCUUCUGUAACCAGACAUCAUGUUAUUUCCAAUUGAAUGAGCAAACAACUUGAUUAACAGAAACACAGAGACCAAGAAAUUUGAUGACAGAUGUUUGUUGCUUCCAUUCUAAAAGAAUAUGGUGUUAAGAAGGGAGUUACUCCUUGCUCUCAACCAAGACAACAGGCAUAACUUCCCCAAGUUUAUGGUCCAGUUUUCCAGAUUCUAUGACGAGUAAAUCCUGGAGAAGGAUAACGUAAUGUUGUCGAACAUCUCCUGCACUUUUUUCUCCUCCAACCAUGGCUGCAACCACUUCCCACCGUUCAGGGUGUUGCUCAUCCACCACUGCCAAAGCUAGCUCAAACAACUUGUUCUCCUCCCAACUCCAACCGCAAAAGCUGUUAGCAAAAUCUUCCAUCGCACUCACUCUGGAUCCCUUCAGACCACUUUGAAGAAAUUGAGGAUUCUCUACUAAUUCUUUCACAUUAGGUGAUUUCAUGCUAUGUCUUCUUAGACAAAAUCUGACACCCCUUAUGAUCUCUGGGGAGUUAGAUGUUUGUAAUGACGUGCCAAAUAGUUUUCUUUCAAGUAUUUAAAGGGCUAUUUUUCUUUUCUAUUUUUA
Vigna unguiculata (cowpea) is the source of this 1393-nucleotide long non-coding RNA. RefSeq lists it as uncharacterized. The record is from RefSeq and is a predicted model, not a curated record. Lineage: Eukaryota; Viridiplantae; Streptophyta; Magnoliopsida; Fabales; Fabaceae.